Molecule: ribosomal RNA, 425 nt
Filed under: uncultured bacterium
Lineage: Bacteria
Description: bacterial SSU rRNA
Rfam family: Bacterial small subunit ribosomal RNA
Source: RNAcentral
GUGAGGAAUAUUGGUCAAUGGGCGUAAGCCUGAACCAGCCAAGUCGCGUGAGGGAUGAAGGUUCUAUGGAUCGUAAACCUCUUUUAUAAGGGAAUAAAGUGUGGGGCGUGUCCUAUUUUGUAUGUACCUUAUGAAUAAGGAUCGGCUAACUCCGUGCCAGCAGCCGCGGUAAUACGGAGGAUCCGAGGGUUAUCCGGAUUUAUUGGGUUUAAAGGGUGCGUAGGCGGCUUUUUAAGUCGGCGGUGAAAUCCUGUGGCUCAACCAUAGAAUUGCCUUUGAAACUGGGAGGCUUGAGUAUGUUUGAGGCAGGCGGAAUGCGUGGUGUAGCGGUGAAAUGCUUAGAUAUCACGCAGAACCCCGAUGGCGAAGGCAGCCUGCCAAGCCAUGACUGACGCUGAUGCACGAAAGCGUGGGGAUCAAACAGG